Tachysurus vachellii is the source of this 683-nucleotide long non-coding RNA. RefSeq lists it as uncharacterized. The transcript has 3 exons. Lineage: Eukaryota; Metazoa; Chordata; Actinopteri; Siluriformes; Bagridae. The record is from RefSeq and is a predicted model, not a curated record.
AUACAGAUUGCAUUACCCCCUUAAUCUAGAUGAUGUCAAGACCACAGAUCUAGCAUUAACAGAACCAGUGAUGAAAGAUUUUUGCAGUAUGUUUAGAAAUACUAUUAAGUUUGCAUCACCAGCUUCAUCAUAAAAAGGACCCAGAGAGGUCUCUCAUCCGUAGAGUCUAAAAACAGCCACAGGGCACUCCAGCAGCAGGAGGAUGUGCAGCCAUGACAACUCCAGUGUUUUGCACACAAACAUCUCAUGCUGAACACAAUAGCCAUGUCUAUUAUCACCGUGAUGUCAGACAAAGAUGGAGGACUGUCUUCCUCUUUAAGACCCCAAGUCCCCUAAUGCUACUCUGCAGAACUGGGAUGCUACAGAAUGAUGGAUUUCAAGGAGACACAGCAACCCACGGCUUACCGAUUGUAGAUGACAUGAAUCAGGUGGCCAGGUGACUCUGUGGCCUCAGCCUUAUCUUAUCUUCAUGCUUCAUCAGGGUUAGAGCCAUCUUCCUCCUGUUCCUGAUAAGAGCUGCCACAUGGGCCAAAAGUGCCAGAAGUCCUGUUGCCUUCAAACAACCUAAUCUUAUCUCAGGCUUACUGCAGGUAUUAAACACACAUGCACAUGCUGUAUGUGUGCAUUUACACACACACACACAAACAUUGUGCUGUCACAUGUUCAAGAAUAGAAAAACUUGA